CCUACGGGAGGCAGCAGUGGGGAAUAUUGGGCAAUGGGCGCAAGCCUGACCCAGCCACGCCGCGUGAAGGAAGAAGGCUCUCUGGUUGUAAACUUCCUUUUAGAGGGAAGAGCAGACGACGGUACCUCUUGAUUAAGCCACGGCUAACUACGUGCCAGCAGCUGCGGUAAUACGGAGGUGGCAAGCGUUGUCCGGAUUUACUGGGUGUAAAGGGUGUGCAGCCGGGAAGACAAGUCAGAUGUGAAAGCCCGCGGCUAAACCGCGGAACUGCAUUUGAAACUGGUUUUCUUGAGUACCGGAGAGGUCGUCGGAAUUCCUUGUGUAGCGGUGAAAUGCGUAGAUAUAAGGAAGAACACCAGUGGCGAAGGCGGAUGACUGGACGGCAACUGACGGUGAGGCGCGAAAGCGUGGGGAGCAAACAGGAUUAGAUACCCUAGUAGUC
This 442-nucleotide ribosomal RNA is filed under the name uncultured bacterium. Its description in RNAcentral is "partial 16S ribosomal RNA". It matches the Rfam family "Bacterial small subunit ribosomal RNA", at positions 338 to 795 of the family's 1533-position model. The record is from RNAcentral.